UAGGCGUAAAUGAUGCGAGUUAAGUGUGGGGGCAUCUACGAGAUGGCCCUGUGCUGUAGGGUAGCCGUUAAACUCGCUGCCUGGGGAGUACGGUCGCAAGGCUGAAACUUAAAGGAAUUGGCGGGGGGAGCACCACAACGGGUGGAGCCUGCGGUUUAAUCGGACUCAACGCCGGGAAUCUCACCGGAUAAGACAGCUGAAUGAUAGUCGGGAUGAAGACUCUACUUGGCUAGCUGAGAGGUGGUGCAUGGCGUAGUCGUGU
RNAcentral lists this ribosomal RNA (262 nucleotides) under uncultured archaeon. RNAcentral describes it as "partial 16S ribosomal RNA". It matches the Rfam family "Archaeal small subunit ribosomal RNA", at positions 748 to 1009 of the family's 1478-position model. The record is from RNAcentral.